This 440-nucleotide ribosomal RNA is filed under the name uncultured Lachnospiraceae bacterium. RNAcentral describes it as "partial 16S ribosomal RNA". Lineage: Bacteria; Bacillati; Bacillota; Clostridia; Lachnospirales; Lachnospiraceae. The record is from RNAcentral.
GACUACUGGGGUAUCUAAUCCUGUUUGCUCCCCACGCUUUCGAGCCUCAGCGUCAGUUAUCGUCCAGUAAGUCGCCUUCGCCACUGGUGUUCCUCCUAAUAUCUACGCAUUUCACCGCUACACUAGGAAUUCCACUUACCUCUCCGACACUCUAGCUAAGCAGUUUCCAAUGCAGUCCCGGGGUUGAGCCCCGGGUUUUCACAUCAGACUUGCCUUGCCGCCUACGCUCCCUUUACACCCAGUAAAUCCGGAUAACGCUUGCCCCCUACGUAUUACCGCGGCUGCUGGCACGUAGUUAGCCGGGGCUUCUUAGUCAGGUACCGUCAUUUUCUUCCCUGCUGAUAGAGCUUUACAUACCGAAAUCCUUCUUCGCUCACGCGGCGUCGCUGCAUCAGGCUUUCGCCCAUUGUGCAAUAUUCCCCACUGCUGCCCCCCGUAGG